AUACGAGUUUGAUCAUGGCUCAGAACGAACGCUGGCGGCAGGCCUAACACAUGCAAGUCGAGCGAACCCUUCGGGGUUAGCGGCGGACGGGUUAGUAACGCGUGGGAAUAUACCCUUUGGUACGGAAUAGCCUCGGGAAACUGAGAGUAAUACCGUAUGUGCCCUUCGGGGGAAAGAUUUAUCGCCAAAGGAUUAGCCCGCGUUGGAUUAGAUAGUUGGUGGGGUAAUGGCCUACCAAGUCUACGAUCCAUAGCUGGUUUGAGAGGAUGAUCAGCAACACUGGGACUGAGACACGGCCCAGACUCCUACGGGAGGCAGCAGUGGGGAAUCUUAGACAAUGGGCGCAAGCCUGAUCUAGCCAUGCCGCGUGGACGACGAAGGCCUUAGGGUUGUAAAGUCCUUUCAGAUGGGAAGAUAAUGACGGUACCAUCAGAAGAAGCCCCGGCUAACUCCGUG
Molecule: ribosomal RNA, 456 nt
Filed under: uncultured bacterium
Lineage: Bacteria
Description: bacterial SSU rRNA
Rfam family: Bacterial small subunit ribosomal RNA
Source: RNAcentral